Molecule: ribosomal RNA, 305 nt
Filed under: uncultured bacterium
Lineage: Bacteria
Description: bacterial SSU rRNA
Rfam family: Bacterial small subunit ribosomal RNA
Source: RNAcentral
GUCCUACGGGGCGCAGCAGUGAGGGAUAUUGGUCAAUGGGGGAAACCCUGAACCAGCAACGCCGCGUGAGGGAAGACGGUUUUCGGAUUGUAAACCUCUGUCCUCUGUGAAGAUAAUGACGGUAGCAGAGGAGGAAGCUCCGGCUAACUACGUGCCAGCAGCCGCGGUAAUACGUAGGGAGCAAGCGUUGUCCGGAUUUACUGGGCGUAAAGGGUGCGUAGGCGGACUUGCAAGUCAGAAGUGAAAUCUAUGGGCUUAACCCAUAAACUGCUUUUGAAACUGUAAGUCUUGAGUGAAGUAGAGGG